Myotis lucifugus (little brown bat) is the source of this 76-nucleotide microRNA precursor. The record is from Ensembl. NCBI's taxonomy places the organism in Eukaryota, Metazoa, Chordata, Mammalia, Chiroptera, Vespertilionidae.
GCUGCACUUGUAGGGUAGAGCCUGGGAAGCUGUUCCUUUGGGCCGACUCCUUCCCGGUGCCUUGCUCUGCACCCAG